GUGGGGAAUAUUGGACAAUGGGGGCAACCCUGAUCCAGCCAUGCCGCGUGAAUGAUGAAGGCCUUCGGGUUGUAAAGUUCUUUUGGAGGGGACGAUGAUGACGGUACCCUCAGAAUAAGCUCCGGCUAACUUCGUGCCAGCAGCCGCGGUAAUACGAAGGGAGCUAGCGUUGUUCGGAAUUACUGGGCGUAAAGGGCGCGUAGGCGGUUUGGUUAGUCAGAUGUGAAAGCCCAGGGCUUAACCCUGGAACUGCGUUUGAUACUGCCAAGCUUGAAUUCGGGAGAGGUGAGUGGAAUUCCGAGUGUAGAGGUGAAAUUCGUAGAUAUUCGGAGGAACACCAGUGGCGAAGGCGGCUCACUGGCUCGAUACUGACGCUGAGGUGCGAAAGCGUGGGGAGCAAACAGGAUUAGAAACCCCGGUAGUCC
RNAcentral lists this ribosomal RNA (425 nucleotides) under uncultured bacterium. RNAcentral describes it as "partial 16S ribosomal RNA". It matches the Rfam family "Bacterial small subunit ribosomal RNA", at positions 354 to 796 of the family's 1533-position model. The record is from RNAcentral.